UUGACCACGUCACUGUAUGGAGAGUGCUACGGGAGAACCAGUUGUUUCCGUACCAUGUACAGCGUGUGCAGGCACUAUCACCAGCUGAUUGGCCUCCACGGGCACACUUCUGCGAAUGGUUCAUCCAACAAUGUGUCAAUCCUCAUUUCAGUGCAAAUGUUCUCUUUACGGAUGAGGCUUCAUUCCAACGUGAUCAAAUUGUAAAUUUUCACAAUCAACAUGUAUGGGCUGACGAGAAUCCGCACGCAAUUGUGCAAUCACGUCAUCAACACAGAUUUUCUGUGAACGUUUGGGCAGGCAUUGUUGAUGAAGUCUUGAUUGGGCCCCAUGUUCUUCCACCUACGCUCCAUGGAGCACGUUAUCAUGAUUUCAUACGGGAUACUCUACUUGUGCUGCUAGAACAUGUGCCUUUACAAGUACGACACAACAUGUGGUUCAUGCACGAUGGAGCUCCUGCACAUUUCAGUCGAAGUGUUCGAACGCUUCUCAACAACAGAUUCGGUGACCGAUGGAUUGGUAGAGGCGGUCCAAUUCCAUGGCCUCCACGCUCUCCUGAUCUCAACCCUCUUGACUUUCAUUUAUGGGGGCAUUUGAAAGCUCUUGUCUACGCAACCCCGAUAUCAAAUGUAGAGACUCUUCGUAUUCGUAUUGUGGACGGCUGUGAUACAAUACGCCAUUCUCCAGGGCUGCAUCAGCGCAUCAGGGAUUCCAUGCGACGGGGGGUGGAUGCAUGUACCCUCGCAAACGGAGGACAUUUUGAACAUUUCUUGUAACAAAGUGUUUGAAGUCACGCUGGUACGUUCUGUUGCUGUGUGUUUCCAUUCCAUGAUUUAUGUGAUCUGAAGAGAAGUAAUAAAAUGAGCUCUAGCAUGGAAAGUAAGCGUUUCCGGACACAUGUCCACAUAACAUAUUUUCUUUCUUUGUGUGUAAGGAAUGUUUCCUGAAAGUUUGGCCGUACCUUUUUGUAACACUCUGUGUAACCCACAUUCAGCUAGUGUUACAUAUAGACCAGUUCAACUUUCUAGAAAGUGGUACACGCUAACUAAACAUGAAGGCCCUGACAUUGGCUGACCCCCAAUGUCCUGCUCACGCCGGAGCCACGCCCAAAUACUUCCCUGAGGAGUCGGACCCAAACGGCUUCUGGGAGUGCAGCAAUGGCGUAGCCAUUCACGAGAACUGUGCUUCAGGACUCUUCUGGAGCAGCAACAUCAACGCCUGUGACUGGCCUUAGGCGAACAAUUGCAACACCUGAAAUGUUUUCUUACAUAUACUGUAUGUAAUACGUCUAGCGAAGAUAUUUCAAGACAGAUCCUAAUGUUUACAAACGCUGAUCUUAUGUAACCCAACAGUGAAGUUCAUGGUGAAUAAACAACAAUUAAAUGGUUUAUCAAA
Molecule: long non-coding RNA, 1392 nt
Organism: Schistocerca serialis cubense
Lineage: Eukaryota; Metazoa; Arthropoda; Insecta; Orthoptera; Acrididae
Exons: 2
Source: RefSeq, a predicted model, not a curated record